AACUUUUGGCAACGGAUUACUUGGCUCUCGCAUCGAUGAAGAACGCAGCGAAAUGCGAUAAGUAAUGUGAAUUGCAGAAUUCAGUGAAUCACCGAAUCUUUGAACGCACCUUGCGCCCUUUGGCUAUUCCGAAGGGCAUGCCUGUUUGAGUAUCAUGAACACCUCAACUCUCACGGUUCGCCGCGAUGAGCUUGGACUUGGGGGUUUUGCUGGCAUGCAGCCAGCUCCUCUCAAAUGAAUCAGCUUACCAGUCUUUGGUGGCGUCACGGGUGUGAUAACUAUCUACGCUUGUGGGUCGUCCGCCAGGUAACCUUCAGCGAUGGAGGUUUGCUGGAGCUUAUAAAUGUCUCUCCUCAGCGAGGACAAGUUUUUGAACGUUCGAUCUCAAAUCAGGUAGGACUACCCGCUGAACUUAAGCAUAUCAAUAAGCGGAGGCU
RNAcentral lists this unclassified non-coding RNA (437 nucleotides) under uncultured Thelephora. Its description in RNAcentral is "sequence contains ITS2". The stretch from base 1 to 155 matches the Rfam family "5.8S ribosomal RNA". The record is from RNAcentral. Lineage: Eukaryota; Fungi; Basidiomycota; Agaricomycetes; Thelephorales; Thelephoraceae.